UGUAAAGCGGGGGAAUAACCCGUUGAAAGAACGGACUAUAACCGCAUAAUACUAAAUUACUGCAUGGUAAUUUAUUUAAACAUUUAAUGGCUUUACAGAUGGGCAUGCGCAUGAUUAGCUAGUUGGAGAGGUAACGGCUCCCCAAGGCAACGAUCAUUAGGGGUUCUGAGAGGAAGGUCCCCCACACUGGUACUGAGACACGGACCAGACUCCUACGGGAGGCAGCAGUGAGGAAUAUUGGUCAAUGGACGAGAGUCUAGAACCAGCCAAGUCGCGUGCAGGAAGAAUGUUACCCUUAUGGAUUAGUAAACUGUCUUUUGCAGGGGAAUAAAGUGCAUCACGUGUGAUGUUUUGUAUGUACUCUGCGAAUAAGGAUCGGCUAACUCCGUGCCAGCCGCCGC
Molecule: ribosomal RNA, 401 nt
Filed under: uncultured bacterium
Lineage: Bacteria
Description: bacterial SSU rRNA
Rfam family: Bacterial small subunit ribosomal RNA
Source: RNAcentral